UGUUACCGCCCUUCGCAGGAAGGGUGGAGGGGAGUCAGCAGCUGGCGCGGUCAUCAGUGUCCCUUUUCCGGAACGCUGGGUUAGAGAAUAAACCGCAUCGACCUGAAAAUAGAAACCUAGAGCCCAGGCAGUGGGUCACUGUGGGACCCACACCGCUCAGGACUCCAGUUUGGACCGGGGGCACUCCAGAAUGUCCGGACACCCGGGCACUUGCUCAGUCUUUGGCAAUAGUCAGGCAUAAUGCGGGACAUUUGUUGAGGUUUCCGUGGUUGAGCGUCUGCUACUGGAGUCUCUCGUGGCCCGAUACAUUUCAGAAUUAGGAAAGGUUCGGUCAUUGCUCUCCCAACUGCUGAAGUCAGUUAGUCUCCCCUGUGUUCCCAGGAGAGCACCCCAGGGAAGGUAAAUUAUUAAACAACAUCGGGCCAUUAGCAUACUGGGCCUCAACUCUAUGGCCUUGCCUUGGAACAACUAAAUGUUUUAUUGAAGAUGAAAUAUACAUGCAUGAAAAAGAUGUGAAGGUAGCAGCAUGAGGGGGCCUGUGAAUUCUCUCAGAAGAGGCUUUCCCCUUUCAUGGCGGUUUACAGAAUUAGAAAUGAAAAAGGAGAAUAACUGAUAUCGCAGAAAUACAAAGGAUCAUGAAAGACUACCACAAGCAACUAUAUACCAACAAAAUGGACAACCUGGAAGAAAUGAAUAAAUUCUUAGAAAAAUACAACCUCCCAAUACUGAACCAGGAAGAAAUAGAAAAUAUGAACAGAUCAAUCACAAACACUGAAAUUAAAAUUGUGAUUAAAAAUCUUCCAACAAAAAAAAAAGCCCAGGGCCAGAUGGCUUCACAACCGAAUUCUAUCAAACAUUUAGAGAAGAGCUAACACCUAUCCUUCUCAAAUUCUUCCAAAAUAUAGCAGAAGGAGGAGCACUCCCAAACUCAUUCUAUGAGGCCACCAUCACCUUGAUACCAAAACCAGACAAAGAUGUCACCAAAAAAGAAAACUAUAGGCCAAUAUCACUGAUGAACAUAGAUGCAAAAAACCCCAACAAAAUACUAGCAAACAGAAUCCAACAGCACAUGAAAAGUGGGGUUUAUCCUAGGAACACAAGGAUUCUUCAAUAUAUGCAAAUCAACCAAUGUGAUACCCCAUAUUAACAAAUUGAAGGAUAAAAACCAUAUGAUAAUCUCAAAAGAUGCAGAGAAGGCUUUUGACAAAAUUCAACACCCAUUUAUGAUAAAAACUCUCCAGAAAGUGGGCAUAGACGGAAACUACCUCAACAUAAUAAAAGCCAUAUGUGAUAAACCCACAGCCAGCAUCAUAUUCAAUGGAGAAAAACUGAAAGCAUCUUCUCUAAGAACAGGAACGAGACAAGGGUGCCGACUCUCACCACUAUUAUUCAACAUAGUUUUGGAAGUUUUAGCCACAGCAAUCAGAGAAAAAAAAGAAAUAAAAGGAAUCCAAAUUGGAAAAGAAGUAAAACUGUCACUGUUUGCAGAUGACAUGAUACUCUACAUAGAAAAUCCUAAAGAUGCCACCAGAAAACUACUAGAACUAAUUGAUGAAUUUAGUAAAGUAGCAGGAUACAAAAUUAAUGCACAGAAAUCUCUGGCAUUCCUAUAUACAACAAUAAAAAAUCAGAGAUAUUAAGGAAAUAUUCUCAUUUACCAUUGCAACACAACAAAAAGAAUAAAAUACCUAGGAAUAAACCUACCUAAGGAGGCAAAAGACCUGUAUGCAGAAAACUAUAAGACACUGAUGAAAGGAAUCAAAGACAACACAAACAGAUGGAGAGAUAUACCUUUUUCUUGGACUGGAAGAAUCAGCAUUGUGAAAAUGACUAUAUUACCCAAAGCAAUCUACAGAUUCAAUGCAAUCCCUAUCAAAUUACCAAUGGCAUUUUUCACAGGACUAGAGCAAGAAAUUUUACAAUGUGUAUGGAAAUGCAAUAGACCUCAAAUAACCAAAGCAAUCUUGAGAAAGAAAAAUGGAACUGGAUGAAUCAGUCUCCCUGACUUCAGACUAUACUACAAAGCUACAGUAAUCAAGAUAAUAUGGUACUAGUACAAAAACAGAAAUAUAGAUCAAUGGAACAGAAUAGAGAGCCCAGAGAUAAACCCAUACACAUAUGGGUACCUUAUCUUUGACAAAGGAGACAAGAAUAUACAAUGGAAAAAACACAGCCUCUUCAAUAAAUGGUUCUGGGAAAACUGGACAGCUACAUGUAAAAGAAUGAAAUUAGAACACUUCCUAACACCAUACACAAAGAUAAACUCAAAAUGGAUUAAAGACCUAAAUGUAAGGCCAGACAGUAUAAAACUCUUAGAGGAAAACAUAGGCAGAACAGUCUAUGACAUAAAUCACAGCAAGAUCCUUUUUGAUCCACCUCCUAGAGUAAUGAGAAUAAAAACAGAAACAAACAAAUGGGAUCUAAUGAAACUUAAAAGCUUUUGCACAGGGGCUUCCUAGGUGGUGCAGUGGUUAAGAAUCCACCUGCCAGUGCAGGGGACAUGGGUUCAAGCCCUGCUCCAGGAAGAUCCCACAUGCCUCGGAGCAACUAAGCCCAUGCGCCACAACUAUUGAGCCUGCACUUUAGAGCCUGUGAGCCACAACUGUUGAGCCCAUGUGCUGCAACUACUGAAGCCCACGCACCUAGAGCCUGUGUUCCACAACAAGAAGCCAUGGCAAUGAGGAGCCUGCGCACCACAACGAAGACUAGCCCCCACUCACCACAACUAAAAAAGAAAGCCCGUGCACAGCAAAGAAGACCCAACACAGCCAAUAAAAUAAAUAAAUAAAUAAAUAAAUAAAAUAAAUAAAUUAAAAAAAAAAACCUUUCGCACAGCAAAACAAACCAUAAACAAGACAAAAAGACAACCCUCAGAAUGGGAGAAAACUAACAAAGGAUUAGUCUCCAGAAUAUACAAGCAGCUCAUGCAGCUCAAUAUCAAACAAACAACCCCAUCUGAAAAUGGGCAGAAGACCUAAAUAGACAUUUCUCCAAGGAAGACAUGCAGAUGGCCAAGAGGCACAUGAAAAGGUGUUCAACAUCACUAAUUUUACAGAAAUGCAAAUCAAAACCACAAUAAAGUAUCACCUCACAGUGGUCAGAAUGGCCAUCAUCAAAAAAUCUACAAACAAUAAAUGCUGGAGAGGGUGUGGAGAAAGGAAACCCUCCUGCACUGUUGGUGGGAAUAUAAAUUGAUAUAGUCACUAUGGAGAACAGUAUGGAAGUUCCUUAAAAAACUAAAAAUAGAACUACCACAUGACCUAGCAAUCCCACUCCUGGGCAUAUACCCUGAGAAAACCAUAAGUCAAAAAGAUAAGUGUACCACAAUAUUCAUUGUGGCACUAUUUACAGUAGCCAGGAUGUGGAAGUGACCUAAAUGUCCAUCAGCAGAUUCAUGGAUAAAGAUGUGGCACAUAUAUACAAUGGAAUAUUACUCAGCCAUAAAAAGGAAUGAAAUUGAGUUAUUUGUAGUGAGAUGGAUGGACCCAGAGUCUGUCAUACAGAGUGAAGUAAGUCAGAAAGAGAAAAACAAAUACCGUAUGCUAAUGCAUAUAUAUGGAUUCCAAAAAUACAGCACUGAUGAACCCAGUGGCAAGGCAAGAAGAAAGAUGCAGAUGUAGAGAAUGGACUUGAGGACACAGUGGGGGAAGGGGAAGCUGGGACAAAGUGAGAGAGUAGCAUUGACAUAUAUACACUACCAAAUGUAAAAUAGAUGGCUAGUGGGAAGCUGCUGCAUAGUACAGGGAGAUCAACUUGAUGACUGGUGAUGACCUAGAGGGGUGAUAUAGAGAGUGUGGAAGGGAGUCACGGGAGGGAGGGGACAUGGGAAUAUAUGUAUAAAUACAGAUAAUUCACUUUGUUGUACAGUGGAAACUGGCAUAACAUUGUAAAGCAAUUACACACCAAUAAAGAUUUGAAGAAAAAAAAAAAACCCCAAACCCCACAGUGGAAACAAACCCAUUACCACAAAGGGAACUUCUCCAUAAUGGCAUUUUAUUUUUUAAAUAGACUUGAAUGACCAAUUCUCAAAAAAUGAACAAUAGAGACAUGAGACUUCUCAUUCCACUAGGGAUACAUUCUUGCAGUUUUAAGAAAACUUUACAUUCAAAUACACUUUUCCCUCUCUCGUUUAAACAAACAUUUCUAGAGAAAAAUAGU
Molecule: long non-coding RNA, 4158 nt
Organism: Hippopotamus amphibius kiboko
Lineage: Eukaryota; Metazoa; Chordata; Mammalia; Artiodactyla; Hippopotamidae
Exons: 3
Source: RefSeq, a predicted model, not a curated record